GGGUAUGUGGCUCAGUGGUAGAGCACUUGCCUGGCAUGCAUGAGGCCCUGGGUUCCAUCCCCAGCACCA
RNAcentral lists this transfer RNA (69 nucleotides) under Ictidomys tridecemlineatus (thirteen-lined ground squirrel). Its description in RNAcentral is "Spermophilus tridecemlineatus (thirteen-lined ground squirrel) tRNA". It matches the Rfam family "tRNA". From Rfam's summary of the family: Transfer RNA (tRNA) molecules are approximately 80 nucleotides in length. Their secondary structure includes four short double-helical elements and three loops (D, anti-codon, and T loops). The record is from Rfam by way of RNAcentral. Lineage: Eukaryota; Metazoa; Chordata; Mammalia; Rodentia; Sciuridae.